UUGGGCUUAUGGAGAGAAUGUGGACGUCUACGUGAGUCCUAGGGCCAAGCCCAUUUAGUGAGAUUUCAGGCCGCAGGACCCAUGUAAUGUGAGAGAGAAUUUUAAUUCAACAGAUGGGUUCAAUUUAAACUGAAAGACUUUCCAUAUUUAGCUUGUUGAAAGAGUUCUACAUUGACCUUGUUGAAACGUGAGAGAAACGAGUGACCAGUUUUAAUUACAUGGGAAUACAUAGUUUUUCUUGAACAACAAUAAAAUAGAGUUGGUGUUGAUACAUGGUUUUCUUAUAACUGGGACGGUUUUGUGACAUGCAGUCAUCCCAAUUGAUGUUGAGUUUAUGGAAAUGGAAACAUUUCUUCAAAUUAUAAACAUGUUUUAAAAUUUAUUGAAAACAUGUAAUCUGUUAUGAUUCCGGUCUGUUGUGCCAUUUUUAAAACUUCCCAAAAUGUAGAGUAAAAUGACCCAUUUGUACCUUCUCAAGAAAACAAAUACUGCAAUGUGCAAGGAAGAGCUGCGUUGGAAUACAAGAUUGAUCAUGAAUAAUGCAACUAUAAUGAUUCUAAAACCUCUUCACGGUUCUCAUAUUGGCUUAAUGAUUCCAAAAAGCCAUUG
This 609-nucleotide long non-coding RNA is filed under the name Vitis vinifera (wine grape). RNAcentral describes it as "long non-coding RNA (VVIN_LNC005352)". Lineage: Eukaryota; Viridiplantae; Streptophyta; Magnoliopsida; Vitales; Vitaceae. The record is from RNAcentral.